Molecule: non-coding RNA, 75 nt
Filed under: Desulfamplus magnetovallimortis
Lineage: Bacteria; Pseudomonadati; Thermodesulfobacteriota; Desulfobacteria; Desulfobacterales; Desulfobacteraceae
Source: RNAcentral
GAAAGCCGUGUGCGGUGAAAGUCGCACGCACGGUUUGGAGUGGGGGAAAGACUGAAAAGUCCUACCUAUCGUUAC